Molecule: ribosomal RNA, 1421 nt
Filed under: Lactobacillus sp.
Lineage: Bacteria; Bacillati; Bacillota; Bacilli; Lactobacillales; Lactobacillaceae
Description: bacterial SSU rRNA
Rfam family: Bacterial small subunit ribosomal RNA
Source: RNAcentral
GGUGCCUAUACUGCAGUCGACGAACUCUGGUAUUGAUUGGUGCUUGCAUCAUGAUUUACAUUUGAGUGAGUGGCGAACUGGUGAGUAACACGUGGGAAACCUGCCCAGAAGCGGGGGAUAACACCUGGAAACAGAUGCUAAUACCGCAUAACAACUUGGACCGCAUGGUCCGAGUUUGAAAGAUGGCUUCGGCUAUCACUUUUGGAUGGUCCCGCGGCGUAUUAGCUAGAUGGUGGGGUAACGGCUCACCAUGGCAAUGAUACGUAGCCGACCUGAGAGGGUAAUCGGCCACAUUGGGACUGAGACACGGCCCAAACUCCUACGGGAGGCAGCAGUAGGGAAUCUUCCACAAUGGACGAAAGUCUGAUGGAGCAACGCCGCGUGAGUGAAGAAGGGUUUCGGCUCGUAAAACUCUGUUGUUAAAGAAGAACAUAUCUGAGAGUAACUGUUCAGGUAUUGACGGUAUUUAACCAGAAAGCCACGGCUAACUACGUGCCAGCAGCCGCGGUAAUACGUAGGUGGCAAGCGUUGUCCGGAUUUAUUGGGCGUAAAGCGAGCGCAGGCGGUUUUUUAAGUCUGAUGUGAAAGCCUUCGGCUCAACCGAAGAAGUGCAUCGGAAACUGGGAAACUUGAGUGCAGAAGAGGACAGUGGAACUCCAUGUGUAGCGGUGAAAUGCGUAGAUAUAUGGAAGAACACCAGUGGCGAAGGCGGCUGUCUGGUCUGUAACUGACGCUGAGGCUCGAAAGUAUGGGUAGCAAACAGGAUUAGAUACCCUGGUAGUCCAUACCGUAAACGAUGAAUGCUAAGUGUUGGAGGGUUUCCGCCCUUCAGUGCUGCAGCUAACGCAUUAAGCAUUCCGCCUGGGGAGUACGGCCGCAAGGCUGAAACUCAAAGGAAUUGACGGGGGCCCGCACAAGCGGUGGAGCAUGUGGUUUAAUUCGAAGCUACGCGAAGAACCUUACCAGGUCUUGACAUACUAUGCAAAUCUAAGAGAUUAGACGUUCCCUUCGGGGACAUGGAUACAGGUGGUGCAUGGUUGUCGUCAGCUCGUGUCGUGAGAUGUUGGGUUAAGUCCCGCAACGAGCGCAACCCUUAUUAUCAGUUGCCAGCAUUAAGUUGGGCACUCUGGUGAGACUGCCGGUGACAAACCGGAGGAAGGUGGGGAUGACGUCAAAUCAUCAUGCCCCUUAUGACCUGGGCUACACACGUGCUACAAUGGAUGGUACAACGAGUUGCGAACUCGCGAGAGUAAGCUAAUCUCUUAAAGCCAUUCUCAGUUCGGAUUGUAGGCUGCAACUCGCCUACAUGAAGUCGGAAUCGCUAGUAAUCGCGGAUCAGCAUGCCGCGGUGAAUACGUUCCCGGGCCUUGUACACACCGCCCGUCACACCAUGAGAGUUUGUAACACCCAAAGUCGGUGGG